AGGUCUUAGCUUAAUUAAAGCGAAUGAUUUGCAGUCAUUAGAUGUGGGAAGAAGUCUUACAGUCCUUAG
This 69-nucleotide transfer RNA is filed under the name Wiedomys cerradensis (cerrado red-nosed mouse). Its description in RNAcentral is "tRNA-Ala". It matches the Rfam family "tRNA". Rfam says of the family: Transfer RNA (tRNA) molecules are approximately 80 nucleotides in length. The record is from RNAcentral. Lineage: Eukaryota; Metazoa; Chordata; Mammalia; Rodentia; Cricetidae.